AGUGAACGCUGGCGGUAGGCCUAACACAUGCAAGUCGGACGGCAGCACAGUAAGAGCUUGCUCUUACGGGUGGCGAGUGGCGGACGGGUGAGGAAUACAUCGGAAUCUACUUUUUCGUGGGGGAUAACGUAGGGAAACUUACGCUAAUACCGCAUACGACCUACGGGUGAAAGCAGGGGAUCUUCGGACCUUGCGCGAUUGAAUGAGCCGAUGUCGGAUUAGCUAGUUGGCGGGGUAAAGGCCCACCAAGGCGACGAUCCGUAGCUGGUCUGAGAGGAUGAUCAGCCACACUGGAACUGAGACACGGUCCAGACUCCUACGGGAGGCAGCAGUGGGGAAUAUUGGACAAUGGGCGCAAGCCUGAUCCAGCCAUACCGCGUGGGUGAAGAAGGCCUUCGGGUUGUAAAGCCCUUUUGUUGGGAAAGAAAAGCAGCAGGUUAAUACCCCGCUGCUCUGACGGUACCCAAAGAAUAAGCACCGGCUAACUUCGUG
Molecule: ribosomal RNA, 492 nt
Filed under: uncultured bacterium
Lineage: Bacteria
Description: partial 16S ribosomal RNA
Rfam family: Bacterial small subunit ribosomal RNA
Source: RNAcentral